Copidosoma floridanum is the source of this 312-nucleotide long non-coding RNA. The record is from RefSeq and is a predicted model, not a curated record. Lineage: Eukaryota; Metazoa; Arthropoda; Insecta; Hymenoptera; Encyrtidae.
GUAUGUAAGAAAAUGUCUGGAGAUGAGAAUGAGAAGGAAAUUAAAACUCAUGGAGCAAAAUCAUAGAUCAUUUGUAAGACAAAUUAUAUGAACAAAUGUUGACGAUGGAAGAUAAAAUACUAGAAGAAACUAGAAAGUCUGUCAUCUUUUUUCGCGGCCGUGAAACUCAUCGACCUACCUGUUUUAACAAGGCCACUGAAGAGACUAGGCAAUUAAACCUAAAACCCAGCAAAGAUUAUCACCUUUUACCUGAUAGCAAAAGGGUCCACCAGACGGAGUUGGAUUGCGCUGAAUUUGACAAAGACACAAUUA